CAACCCAUCAGACAUGCAUUUGUCUACAUCUGCACAUGCCAGUAACAGUGUUCUCUGUCUCUCUCGUGGAUAAGUGGAAAGUCUGGCUCAAACACCAGCGGCCAUCAAGUGUCCAUCCUGUGAAGAGACUGUCUUCACAGAAACCAGCAGCAGAGUGGGCGAGACUACGUGGUUGCUUUUUUACAUGUGCACCAUGAUGGGGUGUGUCGCAGGUUGCUGUUUAAUCCCUUUCUUCAUGAGCCGUGUGAAGGACGUCCACCACCAGUGUCCCAAGUGCCAGGCAAAAAUACACAUCCACCAGCCACUUUGACCUGGAGGUUACUAUAUUAACAGCACUGGUGCUAUUCGUACAGUAUGAGCCACUACGAAUGUGCUCGAGUGACAACUUCCUGUGGACUAGGAGCUGUCUGGGACUCGGCCUCUGCUGUAGACUCCACAAUGAUCGUGGCGAUGUGCAUGGAAUCAAGUACAGCGCUGGUACAAACUGUAAAAAAGGCUCACUUAUGCCAACCUAGGCCAACCUAGUCAACCUCAGUUUGCCCACCUGAAUGUCUGCAUAACAUGAACGCUCUAAGCUUGCAAAUGCAAACACUGCCAUUCAAAUCAAUACUUACUUUAAUAAUGUCUAGACUAGUUAAGGUGUCAGAUACUAAUACCUUUAGAAAAACUGACCCCUUCAAAAGGAUCAAUGCCCUUUUUUCGGCUGGUAUUAGGACACAGCUUUGUGGGUUGUCUGUCAACACUCUAAUGAGCUCCAUGACAACUUGGUCUAAGGAAAGUAAACCUGGGAAUAUGUUAUCUCAAAGGAAAAUGGAAAUGCCUUGCUGAAAAUAUGCAAAUAGGGACCUGUAACCUGACAAAGGACUGUUUGUAUACACUGUCAGCCAUGACACAAUUCAAAUGUAGUGCCUUGCUUGUGUCUUCUGUUUCUGCACUCACGCCAGUUAUUUGAAAUACUAUUUGUGAUACAUUUUAUAAAGAAUUGUGCAUUAUUAUGUAAUUAACUCUAACAGAGGCAUUCACAGUACAACACAUUUUAUUGACACAUAAAGGCAUACAGUACUCAUAUACAUCUUUUGGAGUAUUUACAAAAUAAAGAACCCAUGGAUGUUACACAUGUAGAAAAAUAUGCAUUACAUCUAUAGAAAUAUGUACACAAUGUGCAAAACAUAUGGCAUACAAACAACAAGAGGCAUGGCAGGUGGAGAUGGAGACUCGGCUACAAUGAAAGAUGUAAAUUUCCCCAAAAUAUAUUGAUUUUAUAAAAUGUCUUCUCCACCAAAACAUGUACAAUGUUGAUGAUAAAAUUCCAAUGAAUGAUGACAAGCUGAAGUCGAUAUGGGGAAGCCCGAACCAACAUCUGUUACCAUCCACUAUAAAAGUAGACGAGUUGACAGAACCCUUUAGCCCUUCUUCAGAUGGACUCCGCCUCCACAAACCUCUAAAUUAAGAGGGCUAUUCACACAACCACUCAGCUAUUAAGUGCUGCUGAACUUAUGAAUGACCUUUUAAACUGUAUUGCGUUGUAGUAAAGGUUGUUACAAUGAUAAAAUCAAGGCAUGAUCUGACUAACUGUACAGUACAGUAUAUCAAUCAAUGUUAAGUGGUGUCACAUUGAGUAAAUCGCACACAUGUGUAGAUUUACUGCAGCCAAGAGGUGUGUGCAUUUCUAAUAUGAAAAAUAGUUUUUUUUAAACUGCAAACCAAAAAUAUACACAUGAAAUCCUCUCCGACAUUUUUAAAUUAGCUGAAUAAAAGAUUGAUUUUUCUUUUCACCCUCCGAAAAAAGGUGAUAUGGAUACAAAAAAGUGAGAAAAUAAACAAAGUGUGGUAGUAUGAUCCACUGCCUUUUUUGGCAACAACAUAUUAAAUAUGAGAGCCUUAAAGGUGACAGACUGGAAAGAAAAAAAUAUGAUCUAGUCAUUUCUUCUAGGAUACACAAGAAUCAACUAGAUAUCUUACUGUUAAUCCCACGUGGGAUUAAAAC
This is a long non-coding RNA of Etheostoma cragini (Arkansas darter), 1987 nucleotides long. RefSeq lists it as uncharacterized. Lineage: Eukaryota; Metazoa; Chordata; Actinopteri; Perciformes; Percidae. The transcript is spliced from 2 exons. The record is from RefSeq and is a predicted model, not a curated record.